GAACUGCGAUAAGUAGUGUGAAUUGCAUUUAGUGAAUCAUCGAAUCUUUGAACGCACCCUGCACUCACUGGUAUUCCGGUGAGUACGCCUGUUUCAGUAUCAUUGAAAACACACAAUCAAAACAUUUUCUUUGGUUUGAUUGGCUUUGGGUCUAUCAAAAAGUUUGGCUUGUUUCUUACAAGCCAAGCGGCCUGAAAUAUAUUGUCUGGCUAAUUGCAUCGUUGAUGAUCGCUAUUAGACUUUGGCUUUUUUAAAUGAACUGGAGGUUGAUUAACCAGUUUUAGCUUUAGUCAAAUGGUCAUUGUAAAAAAAAUCUCGAUCUUGGCUAGGUGUUUAUAGCCGAAAAUUUUUUUUUGGCUAUAACCGAAACCAAUAUAAUCACAUUUAGUUAUCGAUCUGAAAUCAGGUGGGACUACCCGCUGAACUUAAGC
RNAcentral lists this unclassified non-coding RNA (431 nucleotides) under plant metagenome. Its description in RNAcentral is "partial contains 5.8S ribosomal RNA, internal transcribed spacer 2, and large subunit ribosomal RNA". The stretch from base 1 to 102 matches the Rfam family "5.8S ribosomal RNA", at positions 50 to 154 of the family's 154-position model. The record is from RNAcentral.